RNAcentral lists this unclassified non-coding RNA (348 nucleotides) under soil metagenome. Its description in RNAcentral is "partial contains 5.8S ribosomal RNA, internal transcribed spacer 2, and large subunit ribosomal RNA". The stretch from base 1 to 120 matches the Rfam family "5.8S ribosomal RNA", at positions 35 to 154 of the family's 154-position model. The record is from RNAcentral.
GAUGAAGAACGUAGCAAAAUGCGAUAAGUAAUGUGAAUUGCAGAAUUCAGUGAAUCAUCGAAUCUUUGAACGCACAUUGCGCCCGCUGGUAUUCCGGCGGGCAUGCCUGUUCGAGCGUCAUUUCAACCCUCAAGCCCCCGGGUUUGGUGUUGGGGAUCGGCUCUGCCCUUCUGGGCGGUGCCGCCCCCGAAAUACAUUGGCGGUCUCGCUGCAGCCUCCAUUGCGUAGUAGCUAACAACUCGCAACUGGAACGCGGCGCGGCCAUGCCGUAAAACCCCAACUUCUGAAUGUUGACCUCGGAUCAGGUAGGAAUACCCGCUGAACUUAAGCAUAUCAAUAAGCGGAGGA